Molecule: ribosomal RNA, 253 nt
Filed under: uncultured bacterium
Lineage: Bacteria
Description: partial 16S ribosomal RNA
Rfam family: Bacterial small subunit ribosomal RNA
Source: RNAcentral
UACGUAGGGGGCAAGCGUUGUCCGGAAUCAUUGGGCGUAAAGCGCGUGUAGGCGGCCCGAUAAGUCGGCUGUGAAAGUCAAGGGCUCAACCCUUGGAAGCCGGCCGAUACUGUCGGACUAGAGUCCGGAAGAGGCGAGUGGAAUUCCCGGUGUAGCGGUGAAAUGCGCAGAUAUCGGGAGGAACACCAAUUGCGAAGGCAGCUCGCUGGGACGGUACUGACACUGAGGAGCGAAAGCCAGGGGAGCAAACGGG